Molecule: non-coding RNA, 350 nt
Organism: Pelobates cultripes (western spadefoot toad)
Lineage: Eukaryota; Metazoa; Chordata; Amphibia; Anura; Pelobatidae
Source: the annotation of a GenBank genome assembly
AGAGUGUCCCUUUAAAGCAGCUCUGACACACCCAUUCCAGAAAUGAGUAAUUUCAUAAAGGUCGAAUCCUUAUGAAAUACUCACAUUGACUGUUGGAAUUUGACUGAAAUUCCAACCUAGUCAAAAGAUAUACAGAGACAAAGCGUAGUAUUUUUCCUACGCUUGACCAAACGAGGUAACUGCCGCUAAGACUUGCCAUUUCUUCCAGCCAUCACUAGUGAAAAAAUAAAACUUUAAGGAAAAAAGCUCCUUCUCAGGAUCCUCAAUAGACCACACAUACAUAACAGCAUUGACAUCGGCUGCUGGCAGCUGAAAAGGAGUGGACAGAAGAGAAUGGUGGCGCCCGCAAG